This is a long non-coding RNA of Lathyrus oleraceus (garden pea), 446 nucleotides long. RefSeq lists it as uncharacterized. NCBI's taxonomy places the organism in Eukaryota, Viridiplantae, Streptophyta, Magnoliopsida, Fabales, Fabaceae. The transcript has 3 exons. The record is from RefSeq and is a predicted model, not a curated record.
UCUCUGUCACCGCCACCGCGUCCUUCCGUCUUCAUCUUCUACGUGUCAUCCUGUUCGUCUUCAUCAUCUCCGUCUCAAGGUGAUUUAUUGUCGAAACUAUGACAUCAUCAAAAAAUGGCGACGAAACUGAAGUGCGAAUGAGGCAUAGCUGUAUCCCGGUGAAUUUGAGCAGCAUCAAUGAAAAGUUAACAAAAACUCAACGUGCUCACAUCGAACGCACCCCAUUCAAAUGGGCGAUGGAUAUUUCUAACAACUUCUUAAUCUCAGGUGGUUUAUUGUGGGAGUUGGUAAGUAGAUGGGAUGUACGUAGUAGGGGAUUUAGGGUUAGGGAUAGAAUAGUUCCCUUUACUCCAGUUGAUGUUUCUUUUGCUCUUGGAUUGUCUAUUGUUGGUAAGUCUCUAGUAGUAGAAGAAGAUCAACAAUGUGAAACAUUAGAUCUAUUUAAA